GUGGUGGCCUUACUCAGCAAGACCUGGGCCUGCUGGGGUUCACCCGAUCGCAGUCAUCGCGAUGGGGCCACGUGGUAAAACAGCGCCCCACGCUUGUCAAUGGGGUGGCCGCGAUGUCCAGUUUCCCAGUUUGAGCCCGCUGUCCUCAGAUUCUUGGAGACACCAGCUAUAGACAGAAACCCCCAAAGGCAGGAGCAGAUUUGUUUCCACGUCUCAUCUGUGGUUUACAAACAAGUUGGGAGAGACUUUGGUGCACAGCUACAGACUGAGCCGGUUUACUGCACAUUAUAAAUGGAAAUCUUUAUUUUUUUUUUUUCUCUCUGUUUUUAAGAAAUCCUGUUGCAAGGUCAUUAAUCACAUUAUCCAUUAUACCAGAAACAAAUGGAUUUGUCACUUGUUCGCAGAAGCUGAGGCCGCUUCUGGAAACAAAUUGUAUCAAAAUAAAUGAAAUUAUUAUGAUAAUAUAAAAUAGACGGCAGUGAUUAAUCUCCAGAAACCAAAUUUUGACCUGCUUUGCACUUCAAACAAUAGCUUCUGUUAUGUAAAUAGUUGUGGGGUUUUCAAGGACAGUGUUGCUAAAUUACAAGAAAAGUUCUUUUCAUGAAAAAUCUCUUCAUGGGUAAACAGUAGAGACAGGAAAUCUGAUCUACACAACAGCCAAAGCAGAGGACAGUGAAAGUUAUGAUGGUUCAGGCGUGGACCCUGGGGGUCCCCAGUAAACUUCCUGCCUGCAAACCUCAGAGCCGCAGAGCCUGUUCCCUGGGAAACUGGACCUAAGACAGUUGGAAUCAGGAGUGGUGGAAGGAAG
RNAcentral lists this long non-coding RNA (808 nucleotides) under Equus caballus (horse). Its description in RNAcentral is "lncRNA (ENSECAG00000053178.1)". Lineage: Eukaryota; Metazoa; Chordata; Mammalia; Perissodactyla; Equidae. The record is from RNAcentral.